CGCGUAGGCGGUUUGAUAAGUCAGAUGUGAAAGCCCAUGGCUUAACUGUGGAAGUGCAUUUGAAACUGUCAGACUUGAGUACCAGAGGGAAAGUGGAAUUCCCGGUGUAGAGGUGAAAUUCGUAGAUAUCGGGAGGAAUACCGGUGGCGAAGGCGACUUUCUGGCUGGAUACUGACGCUGAGGCGCGAAAGCGUGGGGAGCAAACA
RNAcentral lists this ribosomal RNA (206 nucleotides) under uncultured bacterium. RNAcentral's name for it is "partial 16S ribosomal RNA". It matches the Rfam family "Bacterial small subunit ribosomal RNA", at positions 568 to 774 of the family's 1533-position model. The record is from RNAcentral.